GGGGGUAGAGGUCAGUGGUGCACUGCCUGCCUGGCAAGCAUGAGGUCCUGAGUUCAAUUCCUGCUAUCCCCU
This 72-nucleotide transfer RNA is filed under the name Cavia porcellus (domestic guinea pig). It matches the Rfam family "tRNA". Rfam says of the family: Transfer RNA (tRNA) molecules are approximately 80 nucleotides in length. Their secondary structure includes four short double-helical elements and three loops (D, anti-codon, and T loops). Lineage: Eukaryota; Metazoa; Chordata; Mammalia; Rodentia; Caviidae. The record is from Rfam by way of RNAcentral.